GAUGAUGAACGCAGCGAAAUGCGAUAAUUAAUGUGAAUUGCAGAAUUCCGUGAAUCAUCGAGUCUUUGAACGCACAUUGCGCCUCAUGGCAUUCCGUGAGGCAUGCCCAUCUCAGCGUUAGAAAAUAUUCUCAAAUUUUAGUUUUGUGCUAAAAUUUGGAUCAUGUCAAAGAAGCUUUUACUAUUAUUGUGAUCGCUCUUUGGAAAUUGAUAGGUCUUUGAGUUGCUACUCAUAGAACGUGAUGAAUCUUUCUUCGUUCUAUUGUAAUUCACUCUGGUAGUCCUAAAACUUGUAUGCCUGUGGCAUAUCUUGUAAUUUGACCUGAGAUUGGGUAGGGAUACCCGCUGAACUUAAGCAUAUCAAUAAGCGGAGGA
Molecule: unclassified non-coding RNA, 374 nt
Filed under: soil metagenome
Description: partial contains internal transcribed spacer 2 and large subunit ribosomal RNA
Rfam family: 5.8S ribosomal RNA (bases 1-120)
Source: RNAcentral